CAGUCGAGCGGAUGAAGUAGCUUGCUACUGGAUUCAGCGGCGGACGGGUGAGUAAUGCUUAGGAAUCUGCCUAUUAGUGGGGGACAACGUUCCGAAAGGAGCGCUAAUACCGCAUACGUCCUACGGGAGAAAGCAGGGGACCUUCGGGCCUUGCGCUAAUAGAUGAGCCUAAGUCGGAUUAGCUAGUUGGUAGGGUAAAGGCCUACCAAGGCGACGAUCUGUAGCGGGUCUGAGAGGAUGAUCCGCCACACUGGGACUGAGACACGGCCCAGACUCCUACGGGAGGCAGCAGUGGGGAAUAUUGGACAAUGGGGGGAACCCUGAUCCAGCCAUGCCGCGUGUGUGAAGAAGGCCUUUUGGUUGUAAAGCACUUUAAGCGAGGAGGAGGCUACCUAGAUUAAUACUUUAGGAUAGUGGACGUUACUCGCAGAAUAAGCACCGGCUAACUCUGUGCCAGCAGCCGCGGUAAUACAGAGGGUGCGAGCGUUAAUCGGAUUUACUGGGCGUAAAGCGUGCGUAGGCGGCCAAUUAAGUCAAAUGUGAAAUCCCCGAGCUUAACUUGGGAAUUGCAUUCGAUACUGGUUGGCUAGAGUAUGGGAGAGGAUGGUAGAAUUCCAGGUGUAGCGGUGAAAUGCGUAGAGAUCUGGAGGAAUACCGAUGGCGAAGGCAGCCAUCUGGCCUAAUACUGACGCUGAGGUACGAAAGCAUGGGGAGCAAACAGGAUUAGAUACCCUGGUAGUCCAUGCCGUANACGAUGUCUACUAGCCGUUGGGGCCCUUGAGGCUUUAGUGGCGCAGCUAACGCGAUAAGUAGACCGCCUGGGGAGUACGGUCGCAAGACUAAAACUCAAAUGAAUUGACGGGGGCCCGCACAAGCGGUGGAGCAUGUGGUUUAAUUCGAUGCAACGCGAAGAACCUUACCUGGCCUUGACAUACAGAGAACUUUCCAGAGAUGGAUUGGUGCCUUCGGGAACUCUGAUACAGGUGCUGCAUGGCUGUCGUCAGCUCGUGUCGUGNGAUGUUGGGUU
RNAcentral lists this ribosomal RNA (1027 nucleotides) under Acinetobacter radioresistens. RNAcentral's name for it is "bacterial SSU rRNA". It matches the Rfam family "Bacterial small subunit ribosomal RNA", at positions 59 to 1081 of the family's 1533-position model. Lineage: Bacteria; Pseudomonadati; Pseudomonadota; Gammaproteobacteria; Moraxellales; Moraxellaceae. The record is from RNAcentral.